GGAUGUGAGGGUGAUCUGGCUGCGACAUCUGUCACCACACUGAUCACCAGGGUUGAUUUGGCUGAUCUGGUUGGCUAGGCAGGUGUCCCUUCCUCCUUCACCACUCCAUGUGCUUCCCUCUUGAAGCUCGGUCAGAGAAGAUGACCAUCCCCGAUAGAGAAGGACCAGUCUUCAGUCAAGGGUAUAUGAGUUGCUGUGCUCUCCUGCUAGAACCUCCAAACAAGCUGUUAUAGCAACACAAAACAGACUAAGACAUGCAUUAUCUAUUUUGUGAAAUUAAAGGUCAUGUCUAAGCUAUAGAGGACCUU
Molecule: small nuclear RNA, 308 nt
Filed under: Aotus nancymaae (Ma's night monkey)
Lineage: Eukaryota; Metazoa; Chordata; Mammalia; Primates; Aotidae
Description: 7SK RNA (ENSANAG00000008077.1)
Rfam family: 7SK RNA
About the family: 7SK was discovered as an abundant small nuclear RNA in the mid-70s but a possible function has only recently been suggested. Two independent studies have found that 7SK RNA binds the CDK9/cyclin T complex (known as elongation factor P-TEFb).
Source: Rfam by way of RNAcentral